Molecule: unclassified non-coding RNA, 294 nt
Filed under: Hevea brasiliensis (rubber tree)
Lineage: Eukaryota; Viridiplantae; Streptophyta; Magnoliopsida; Malpighiales; Euphorbiaceae
Source: RNAcentral
CAAAGGCAUAAUUGUGUGAAUGCAAAUGGUGGUAAGAGAGAUGACAGACACACUGGCAGUCCAUUGAUGGCCGAAGAAACAAACAAGAGCACUGGAUUCCUUGAUAUGGAAACGGAUACAAAUCCCAUAGAUCGAUCUAUAGCACAUUUACUGUUUCAUAGGCCCCCAGAUUCAUCUGUGAUGCCUGUCAAUGAUGCUUUGUCUCUAAAAUCUCACGCCAUGGUUCAUGGGUCUGUAACCAGUCCACGUAUGAUAGCCAAGGAACAAAUUUGCCAGGACGAAACUGCCAGUGAU